This 1285-nucleotide ribosomal RNA is filed under the name Acinetobacter baumannii. RNAcentral's name for it is "bacterial SSU rRNA". It matches the Rfam family "Bacterial small subunit ribosomal RNA", at positions 67 to 1347 of the family's 1533-position model. The record is from RNAcentral. Lineage: Bacteria; Pseudomonadati; Pseudomonadota; Gammaproteobacteria; Moraxellales; Moraxellaceae.
CGGGGGAGUAGCUUGCUACUGGACCUAGCGGCGGACGGGUGAGUAAUGCUUAGGAAUCUGCCUAUUAGUGGGGGACAACAUCUCGAAAGGGAUGCUAAUACCGCAUACGUCCUACGGGAGAAAGCAGGGGAUCUUCGGACCUUGCGCUAAUAGAUGAGCCUAAGUCGGAUUAGCUAGUUGGUGGGGUAAAGGCCUACCAAGGCGACGAUCUGUAGCGGGUCUGAGAGGAUGAUCCGCCACACUGGGACUGAGACACGGCCCAGACUCCUACGGGAGGCAGCAGUGGGGAAUAUUGGACAAUGGGGGGAACCCUGAUCCAGCCAUGCCGCGUGUGUGAAGAAGGCCUUAUGGUUGUAAAGCACUUUAAGCGAGGAGGAGGCUACUUUAGUUAAUACCUAGAGAUAGUGGACGUUACUCGCAGAAUAAGCACCGGCUAACUCUGUGCCAGCAGCCGCGGUAAUACAGAGGGUGCGAGCGUUAAUCGGAUUUACUGGGCGUAAAGCGUGCGUAGGCGGCUUAUUAAGUCGGAUGUGAAAUCCCCGAGCUUAACUUGGGAAUUGCAUUCGAUACUGGUGAGCUAGAGUAUGGGAGAGGAUGGUAGAAUUCCAGGUGUAGCGGUGAAAUGCGUAGAGAUCUGGAGGAAUACCGAUGGCGAAGGCAGCCAUCUGGCCUAAUACUGACGCUGAGGUACGAAAGCAUGGGGAGCAAACAGGAUUAGAUACCCUGGUAGUCCAUGCCGUAAACGAUGUCUACUAGCCGUUGGGGCCUUUGAGGCUUUAGUGGCGCAGCUAACGCGAUAAGUAGACCGCCUGGGGAGUACGGUCGCAAGACUAAAACUCAAAUGAAUUGACGGGGGCCCGCACAAGCGGUGGAGCAUGUGGUUUAAUUCGAUGCAACGCGAAGAACCUUACCUGGCCUUGACAUACUAGAAACUUUCCAGAGAUGGAUUGGUGCCUUCGGGAAUCUAGAUACAGGUGCUGCAUGGCUGUCGUCAGCUCGUGUCGUGAGAUGUUGGGUUAAGUCCCGCAACGAGCGCAACCCUUUUCCUUACUUGCCAGCAUUUCGGAUGGGAACUUUAAGGAUACUGCCAGUGACAAACUGGAGGAAGGCGGGGACGACGUCAAGUCAUCAUGGCCCUUACGGCCAGGGCUACACACGUGCUACAAUGGUCGGUACAAAGGGUUGCUACACAGCGAUGUGAUGCUAAUCUCAAAAAGCCGAUCGUAGUCCGGAUUGGAGUCUGCAACUCGACUCCAUGAAAGUCGGAAAUCGCUAGAAUCGGCGG